This 399-nucleotide ribosomal RNA is filed under the name uncultured bacterium. Its description in RNAcentral is "bacterial SSU rRNA". It matches the Rfam family "Bacterial small subunit ribosomal RNA", at positions 355 to 771 of the family's 1533-position model. The record is from RNAcentral.
UCGGGAAUUUUGGGCAAUGGGCGAAAGCCUGACCCAGCAACGCCGCGUGAAGGAUGAAGUAUUUCGGUAUGUAAACUUCGUAAGAAUGGGAAGAAUAGAUGACGGUACCAUUUGUAAGGUCCGGCUAACUACGUGCCAGCAGCCGCGGUAAUACGUAGGGACCAAGCGUUGUUCGGAUUUACUGGGCGUAAAGGGAGCGUAGGCGGCGUGUCAAGUCAGUUGUGAAAUCUCCGAGCUUAACUCGGAACGGUCAACUGAUACUGUCAUGCUAGAGUGCAGAAGGGGCAAUCGGAAUUCUUGGUGUAGCGGUGAAAUGCGUAGAUAUCAAGAGGAACACCUGAGGUGAAGACGGGUUGCUGGGCUGACACUGACGCUGAGGCUCGAAAGCUAGGGUAGCAA